This 629-nucleotide ribosomal RNA is filed under the name Absidia caerulea. RNAcentral's name for it is "eukaryotic LSU rRNA". The stretch from base 241 to 391 matches the Rfam family "5.8S ribosomal RNA". Lineage: Eukaryota; Fungi; Mucoromycota; Mucoromycetes; Mucorales; Cunninghamellaceae. The record is from RNAcentral.
ACCUGCGGAAGGAUCAUUAAAAAUGGCGAGGGGAAGAUUUAUCGACCCUUCACACUUUUUUCUGUGCACUGUUCAUGUUUUGAUUUGAACGGAGGGAGCGCAAGCUUCUUUCCGGCCAAAUUCAAUGACCGCGGACCCUGGAUAUUUUUAGCCCCUGAAUUCAUGCGGCCAAAUUUUUUCCCACGGUCCGUCUACCCACUCUUCUAACACUGACUGAACCACAAAACAUAAAGUUUAAACAACUUUCAGCAAUGGAUCUCUCGGCUUUCGUAUCGAUGAAGAACGCAGCGAAUCGCGAUAUGUAGUGUGAUCUGCCUUUAGUGAAUCAUCAAAUCUUUGAACGCAUCUUGCACCUUUUGGUAUUCCAAAAGGUACGCCUGUUUCAGUAUCAUUAUAACCUCUUGCCCAAAUGUAUUUUUGGAAAAAGAGAAUAUGACAGUUGGCCCUGCGUCUCUGCAAAGAGUCGUCUCGGCUUGAAUACCCUGUUGAUUGUAACUGUUUCAUCUACGGUCAUCACUUGAUAAUUAUCGUGUGUCUAACCAGAAAUGAAGCGGGAUCGACCGUAUCAAACCCCCCUAAACUUGAUCUGAAAUCAGGCGGGAUUACCCGCUGAACUUAAGCAUAUCAAA